RNAcentral lists this ribosomal RNA (1066 nucleotides) under uncultured organism. RNAcentral describes it as "bacterial SSU rRNA". It matches the Rfam family "Bacterial small subunit ribosomal RNA", at positions 367 to 1437 of the family's 1533-position model. The record is from RNAcentral.
GGCAAUGGACGCAAGUCUGACCCAGCCAUGCCGCGUGCAGGAUGACUGCUCUAGUAGUUGUAAACUGCUUUUCUAUUUCAUGAACCCCUCUGACGUGUCAGGGGCUGACAGUAGAAUAGGAAUAAGCAUCGGCUAACUCCGUGCCAGCAGCCGCGGUAAUACGGAGGAUGCAAGCGUUAUCCGGAUUUACUAGGUUUAAAGGGUGCGUAGGCGGGGUAUCAAGUCAGUGGUGAAAUCCUGCAGCUCAACUGUAGAACUGCCAUUGAAACUGAUAUUCUUGAGUAUAGUUGAGGUAGGCGGAAUGUGUUAAGUAGCGGUGAAAUGCAUAGAGAUAACACAGAACACCGAUUGCGAAGGCAGCUUACUAAACUAUUACUGACGCUGAGGUACGAAAGCGUGGGGAGCGAACAGGAUUAGAUACCCUGGUAGUCCACGCCGUAAACGUUGAUCACUAGUUGUUUGCGAUACAUUGUGAGCGACUGAACAAAAGCAUUAAGUGAUCCACCUGGGGAGUACGUUGGCAACGAUGAAACUCAAAGGAAUUGACGGGGGCCCGCACAAGCGGAGGAACAUGUGGUUUAAUUCGAUGAUACGCGAGGAACCUUACCUGGGCUUAAAUGUAAGACGACUAACAGGGAAACUUGUUAUCUUUCGAGCGUCCUACAAGGUGCUGCAUGGUUGUCGUCAGCUCGUGCCGUGAGGUGUCGGGUUAAGUCCCAUAACGAGCGCAACCCUUAUCGUUAGUUGCCAGCGGGUAAUGCCGGGGACUCUAGCGAAACUGCCAUCGUAAGAUGUGAGGAAGGUGGGGAUGACGUCAAAUCAGCACGGCCCUUAUGUCCAGGGCUACACACGUGUUACAAUGGUCGAAACAAGGGGCAGCUACUUGGUGACAAGAUGCUAAUCUCUAAAAUCGAUCUCAGUUCGGAUCGAAGUCUGCAAUUCGACUUCGUGAAGUUGGAUUCGCUAGUAAUCGCGCAUCAGCAAUGGCGCGGUGAUACGUUCCCGGGCCUUGUACACACCGCCCGUCAAGCCAUGGAAGCUGGGGGUACCUGAAGUCUGUAACCGA